This 836-nucleotide ribosomal RNA is filed under the name Microbacterium esteraromaticum. RNAcentral's name for it is "bacterial SSU rRNA". It matches the Rfam family "Bacterial small subunit ribosomal RNA", at positions 122 to 969 of the family's 1533-position model. Lineage: Bacteria; Bacillati; Actinomycetota; Actinomycetes; Micrococcales; Microbacteriaceae. The record is from RNAcentral.
CAACCUGCCCCUGACUCUGGGAUAAGCGCUGGAAACGGAGUCUAAUACUGGAUAUGUCCCGUCACCGCAUGGUGUGCGGGUGGAAAGAUUUUUCGGUUGGGGAUGGGCUCGCGGCCUAUCAGCUUGUUGGUGAGGUAAUGGCUCACCAAGGCGUCGACGGGUAGCCGGCCUGAGAGGGUGACCGGCCACACUGGGACUGAGACACGGCCCAGACUCCUACGGGAGGCAGCAGUGGGGAAUAUUGCACAAUGGGCGCAAGCCUGAUGCAGCAACGCCGCGUGAGGGAUGACGGCCUUCGGGUUGUAAACCUCUUUUAGCAGGGAAGAAGCGAGAGUGACGGUACCUGCAGAAAAAGCACCGGCUAACUACGUGCCAGCAGCCGCGGUAAUACGUAGGGUGCAAGCGUUAUCCGGAAUUAUUGGGCGUAAAGAGCUCGUAGGCGGUCUGUCGCGUCUGCUGUGAAAUCCCGAGGCUCAACCUCGGGCUUGCAGUGGGUACGGGCAGACUAGAGUGCGGUAGGGGAGAUUGGAAUUCCUGGUGUAGCGGUGGAAUGCGCAGAUAUCAGGAGGAACACCGAUGGCGAAGGCAGAUCUCUGGGCCGUAACUGACGCUGAGGAGCGAAAGGGUGGGGAGCAAACAGGCUUAGAUACCCUGGUAGUCCACCCCGUAAACGUUGGGAACUAGUUGUGGGGUCCUUUCCACGGAUUCCGUGACGCAGCUAACGCAUUAAGUUCCCCGCCUGGGGAGUACGGCCGCAAGGCUAAAACUCAAAGGAAUUGACGGGGACCCGCACAAGCGGCGGAGCAUGCGGAUUAAUUCGAUGCAACGCGAAGAAC